GCUCGCCGCCUCAGUCUCGCCCCGACCAGCGUACGGGCCGUUCGCCCGCUCGACGCGUUCGAAAAAUAAAACUAGUUUGUUCCCAAGCGACGUUACCCCAGUGUGUUAUAGACAAAAAACUGUUAGUGUACGUGUUGUUUUUUAUGGUGAACGAAACGCGUGGUUCAAGUUAUGCGGGUUCCUCGCGAGCACCUUGUAUAAUCCGGCAUCCAAACCGAGAGCGAACAGACACCUUCUGGGCGAGCUCAGUCCAUCGUAGGCCACGUCUUUCGACUAGGCUACUCUGUGACCAUGAGUAAGCCAUUACUGUAAAAAUAUCUUCGUUGAUCGUGCACAUUUAUAGGAUGAAUCACAUUGUAUUGUAACUAGGACCACAGAAUAUAUAAUAGU
RNAcentral lists this unclassified non-coding RNA (390 nucleotides) under Leguminivora glycinivorella. RNAcentral describes it as "brain tumor protein, transcript variant X13". Lineage: Eukaryota; Metazoa; Arthropoda; Insecta; Lepidoptera; Tortricidae. The record is from RNAcentral.